AGUCCAUGGUGUGGGCACUUCCUCAGCAUUGUCUUGAAAUUCUCCCACUCCUAGUACAGGGUCUCACAUUCGUAUUGGUUAAAGUUGGUGAUUUCUCACCUGAGUUG
Molecule: small nucleolar RNA, 107 nt
Filed under: Gossypium hirsutum (cotton)
Lineage: Eukaryota; Viridiplantae; Streptophyta; Magnoliopsida; Malvales; Malvaceae
Description: Plant small nucleolar RNA R71
Rfam family: Plant small nucleolar RNA R71
About the family: R71 is a member of the C/D box family of snoRNAs containing the C (UGAUGA) and D (CUGA) box motifs.
Source: Rfam by way of RNAcentral